GACGAACGCUGGCGGCGUGCCUAAUACAUGCAAGUCGAACGCACAGUUUAUACCGUAGCUUGCUACACCAUAGACUGAGAGUUGCGAACGGCUGAGUAACCCGUAGCUAACCUGUCUGGUAGCGGGGGAUAACUAUUGGAAACGAUAGAUAAUACCGCAUAAUAUUAAUUAUUGCUUGAUAAUUAUUUGCAAGGUGCAAUUGCACCACUACUAGUUGGACCUGUGUUGUAUUAGCUAGUAGGUGAGGUAACGGCUCACCUAGGCGACGAUACAUAGCCGACCUGAGAGGGUGAUCGGCCACACUGAGACUGAGACACGGCCCAGACUCCUACGGGAGGCAGCAGUAGGGAAUCUUCGGCAAUGGACGAAAGUCUGACCGAGCAACGCCGCGUGAGUGAAGAAGGUUUUCGGAUCGUAAAGCUCUGUUGUAAGAGAAGAACGGGUGUGAGAGUGGAAAGUUCACACUGUGACGGUAUCUUACCAGAAAGGGACGGCUAACUACGUG
This 505-nucleotide ribosomal RNA is filed under the name uncultured bacterium. RNAcentral's name for it is "partial 16S ribosomal RNA". It matches the Rfam family "Bacterial small subunit ribosomal RNA", at positions 28 to 507 of the family's 1533-position model. The record is from RNAcentral.